This 7058-nucleotide long non-coding RNA is filed under the name Solanum tuberosum (potato). Its description in RNAcentral is "long non-coding RNA (STUB_LNC008193)". The record is from RNAcentral. Lineage: Eukaryota; Viridiplantae; Streptophyta; Magnoliopsida; Solanales; Solanaceae.
UUUAUUAAAAAUCAAAAGAAAAACUAAUACAACUAAGGAGCUUGGGUCCAAAAGUGACCCAAGCCCAUGUAAACAACUACAAACAAAAAUUAAAGAAACCCAGAAACAAAAAAGGAAAGUGACGGUCUUCUUCUCCCUUGGCAUAGCAGCAACCUCACCGAUCGAUCUCUAUCUUCAACACAAUUUUUUGAAUUUGAGCGACAUCCAUCCGGGCAUUAACCAGUCUCACUAAUGCCAUGGAUUCAAACUAUUUGAAAACUUCUUUAACUCAAAAGUCGUGUAUCUUUUCCAAAUCUAGGUAAGAUCGCUGAGUGGAAGCAUUUAAGCUUGAAAAGUCCCCUUCACAGGACGACUCACCCUUUGUUUCUUUAUCCUCUGCAGAUUGAGCUCAGAAAGCUAAUACCACUGCAUAAGGAGCUAGAGCAUCAAGUAAGUCUUCCCUAUUUGUUUGGACAUUUCAAGAGAAUAGCUUCAACAAAAAUGCAUUUUCUUCAUGGUUUGAAAAUAUAUCAUGAUAUUUUUUGUCAUUUGCACUGCCUGUGUUUUCAAAUAAGCUUGUAUUUUUUUACUUGAAUUAGUGUAUUGCAGCUCAUGUGUCAUGACUUUGAAAUCUAUUUUGACACUUUGUAAAUCUGAUGUUCGGAAUCUGUUGUUUGUCCAUUUGGAUAAUCGCCUUGGUCCUCUGUGGUAUUUCCUAAAUAGUAUGAAAUUGUUUGUUGUUAGUACCUGCAAUGAAGAUUUGGUUAGUAAAAAAAUAUGCUAACAUAUUCCCUUCUCUGUACGUGUGUAACACCUCCACUGUAUGCUCUCUCACCAGCCCUUGGAUUCUUCUUAUAUCCACUACAAUAGCCCAAGGAAUUUCCCAAAUCCCAUCUAUGAUCUUCUUAGCAAGAAGAGAAUCUGUUUCGAUAAUUAGAGACACUGAGGUCCAUAUUAUCCUUGUAAGCACUAUCACUAUUGCAUUUCAACUUACCUUUUUCGGGGAACUUACAACUAACAAUUUUACUAGAGAUUAGAGGACUGUAAUUAUCAAAUGCUUUCACAAUUAGCGGCCAAACCAUAGAAAUAUUAUCUAUCCAAGGAUAUCUGUAUGCUGCCAACAGGUGUAGAUUCCUGUUAAUUUCAGCAAUCAUAGAGAAUUCAAACAUCUUCCCUCUAUGUGUAAUUUAAUUUCUUCUUUUCCAAAUUUGCCAUAUUAUGAACACAGGAACAGCUCUGAACAAAGGUUUAAGUUUUGGUACACAUUUCCCAUUCCACCAUUUAUCAAUUGUAUGUUUAAGCUGUAAAAAAAGGACCUUGAAUCCCUAAAGCAUCCGCAAACAACUCCCAUAGUUCAUUAGCCAUAGGACAUGUAACAAGCAGAUGUUCAAAGGUCUCUUGAGAAUCGUUAUUGCAGCAGCAACACACAACGGAAUCAGUGACUUUUAUCUUGAUCAAAACCUCCCCAAUAGGAAUACUUUGAAACCAAAUUCUCCAUAGCAAAAAGGAUAUUCUAAAAGGAAUUCCUGAUUCCCAGAUAUUCAUAAUCCCUUCCUGUUUUCCUUUUCUUUGUCUGGAAAGUUAUCAUGCACUUCCCACAGUAAAUUUUCCAGAACUUUUGGGCAUCCACCAUGCCUUAUCUCUUUCCUCAUAUUUUUGCAGCCUUCCAAAAACAUUAUGAAUUUGGUUGCACACUUCAGUAGGGAAUAACUCCUCCAUCAGAUUAUAGUUCCAUCCUUCCUUAUUUCUGAUCUGAUGAACCUCUUCGUAGGCCUCAUUAAUCUCAUAAGAAAUAGGAAGAUAUCAAUGUAGAGCCCCUAGUUGUAUCCCAUUGUCAUACCACAAGCUAGUAUGACCAAUUCUUGUCUCCCACCAGACUUUUUGGUCAAAAAAAGUCUAUGGCUUGUAGCAUAUACUUCCAAAUCUGUGAUUCACCUUUCCAUUCUACCUUCUGAAGUCUAAUUCUUUUACAGUACUUAUUCCACAUGAAAGUAGACCAUAGGGUGUUUGUGGUUCUGAAUUUCCACCAUAGCUUUGCAAAAAGAGCUUUUGAUACAUCAAAAUAAGGAUCUAAACCCCAACCCUCCUUCUUCUUUUGGUAGACAUAUGUCAUGCCAAGAUACCUAAUGUUUUGCCCUCCCCCCUUCUUUAGAGUUCCAUAGAAAUUUAGCAAACAUCCUAUGGAUAUCCAUUAUCACACACUUAGGAGGCACAAUAGCAGAUAACAAAUAAAUAGGAAUACUCUGCUAAACACUAUUGAUUAAAACUGAUUUCCCUCCAAAUGACAACAAUUUUCCUUUCCAAAGUUACAACUUGUUUUGAAUAUUUUUAAUCAACUCUGAAAAGUGGGCCUUUUUCUUCUUUGCAUGUCCAAUUGGACAUCCUAGAUAGAUCAGGGGAAAAUUUUAUUUCAAAAAACCAAUAACACUUUCAACAACUUGAACAUCUGCACUUGCAACUUUGUUGAACAUGUAGUAAAAGUUUUUCUCCUUAUUAAUUUUCUGUCCAAAUUGCUCCUCAUAGUUAUUCAAUACCUCAAUUAUAUACUGUAAAGAUUUUUCCUCUGCUGCAGCAAAUAUUAUAGUAUCAUAUGCAUAAGCAAGAUGAUUCAGCUUCUCACUCCAUUUAGGCAUCCCAAAAGGUUUAAAAUAUGUACAAGAAAACAAACUGUUUAAAGCUUUUGAUAAUACUUCUGCAGAGAGAAUGAAAAGUGCAGGAGAUAGGGGAUCUCCUUGUUUAACACCCCUCGAAGAAUGAAAGAAUCCAUGGGUUGUCCAUUAAUGAGAAUGGAAUAACAAUUAUUUGCCAAAAUCCUCCAAACCAGAUCUCCUUAUUUCUGAUCUGAUGAACCUCUUCGUAGGCCUCAUUAAUCUCAUAAGAAAUAGGAAGAUAUGAAUGUAGAGCCCCUAGUUGUAUCCAAUUGUCAUACCACAAGCUAGUAUGACCAAUUCUUGUCUCCCACCAGACUUUUUGGUCAAAAAAAGUCUAUGGCUUGUAGCAUAUACUUCCAAAUCUGUGAUUCACCUUUCCAUUCUACCUUCUGAGGUCUAAUUCUUUUACAGUACUUAUUCCACAUGAAAGUAGACCAUAGGGUGUUUGUGGUUCUGAAUUUCCACCAUAGCUUUGCAAAAAGAGCUUUUGAUACAUCAAAUAAGGAUCUAAAUCCCAACCCUCUUUCUUCUUUUGGUAGACAUAUGUCCUGCCAAGAUACCCAAUGUUUUGGUCAAAAAAAGUCUCUGGCUUGUAGCAUAUGCUUCCAAAUCUGUGAUUCACCUUUCCAUUCUACCUUCUGAGGUCUAAUUCUUUUACAGUACUUAUUCCACAUGAAAGUAGACCAUAGGGUGUUUGUGGUUUUGAAUUUCCACCAUAGCUUUGCAAAAAGAGUUUUUGAUACAUCAAAUAAGGAUCUAAACCCAACCCUCCUUCUUCUUUUGGUAGACAUAUGUCCUGCCAAGAUACCCAAUGUUUUCCCCCCCGCCCCCCCUCCCUCUUCUUUAGAGUUCCAUAGAAAUUUAGCAAACAUCCUAUGGAUAUCCAUUAUCACACACUUAGGAGGCACAAUAGUAGAUAACAAAUAAACAGGAAUACUCUGCAAAACAUUAUUGAUUAAAACUGAUUUCCCUCCAAAUGACAACAAUUUUCCUUUCCAAAGUUGCAGCUUGUUUUGAAUAUUUUUAAUCAACUCUGAAAAGUGGGACUUUUUCUUCUUUGCAUGUCCAAUUGGACAUCCUAGAUAGAUCGGGGGAAAAUUUGCUUUCACAAAACCAGUAACACUUUCAACAAUUUGAACAUCUGCACUUGCAACUUUGUUGAACAUGUAGUAAAAGCUGUUAUUCUUAUUAAUUUUCUGUCCAGAUUGUUCCUCAUAGUUAUUCAAUACCUCCAUUAUAAGUUGUAAAGAUUUUUCUUCUGCUGCAGCAAAUAUUAUAGUAUCAUCUGCAUAAGCAAGAUGAUUCAGCUUCUCACUCCAUUUAGGCAUCCCAAAAGGUUUAAAAUCUGUACAAGAAAACAAAUUGUUUAAAGCUUUUGAUAAUACUUCUGCAGAGAGAAUGAAAAGUGCAGGAGAUAGGGGAUCUCCUUGUUUAACACCCCUCGAAGAAUGAAAGAAUCCAUGGGCUUGUCCAUUAAUGAGAAUGGAAUACCAAUUAUUUGCCAAAAUCCUCCAAACCAGAUCCAAUACAUCCCCAUCAAAACCCAUCAUUUCCAUCACAUUAAUAAAAAACUUCCAAUUCACCCUGUCAUAGGCUUUAGCCAUAUCCAAUUUGAUUACCACAUUAGCAAGUUUACCCCUCUUCCUUAUAUCAGUGAUGAUCUCUUAAGGAAGCAACACAUUUUCAAUAAUACUCCUUCCCUUAACAAAACCAGAUUGAUUUUGUGAGAUCAAUUUAGGCAAUAAAUCUUCCAUUCUGUCAUGCAUCACUCUUGAAAUGACCUUAUUGAGAAAAUUACUCAAACUAAUUGGUCUUAAGUCUGAAAAGGAUUUGAUCACAUCUUUUUUUGGCAAAAGAACCAAAUUAAUAUAAGUAAUUGAUUUAGGGAGGGUGCACCCUUGAAAAAAGGCCUAAACAACUUUCAGAAUAUCACCUCCUACUAUCUCCCAACAAUGUUGAUAGAAGUGACCAAUGAAACCAUCAGGUCCACUUGCACUAUCACCAUUUAAUUCAAAAACCACCUUUUUAACCUCCUUUUCAAAAGGUAAAGCUUUAAUCCUUAUAUUUUUAGCCAAAGUAACAUGAGGAGCAAUGUGUUGGAGAAGAGAUUUAUCUGGAUUGCAAGCACUUUCUGAAAAUUGAUUUUCAAAAACUUUAGAGCUUCUGUAGCAAUUGUUGAAUCUCUUUCUGCCCAACCUCCAUCUUCUUUAAGAAUUCUCUUCAAGGUUAACCUCUUUCUUCUCCCUUUUACCAAGCAAUGAAAGAACUUGGUAUUCUUAUCACCUUUAGAAAACCAUUGGAAACUUGAUUUCUGUCUCCAAAAUUCCUUCUCAUAAUGAAUAUAUAACUUAAGUUCUGCCUGUGCUUUCGGUAAAAUAGCUCUAUUAAAAGAGUUGGGAUUUUGUUCAAACAGUUCUUCUUUCAACCUUACAAUUUCUUCCCUAAUCACUAAUUGUUUGAAGAUAUCCCCAAACUUUUCUUUACUCCACAUAAUAAGGGCAAGUUUAGUUUUCUUUAACUUCUGCUUCAGCUGGACAAAAAUAUCACCAUCAUAGUCAGUACACUAAUUAUCUAAGACCACUUUUUUAAAGUCAUCCCUCUCCGUCCAAAAUUCAAAAAUUUGAAAGGCUUGAACACGAGCUUAUUAGAUCCACCACAAGUCAACAAUAGAGGAGCAUGGUCAGAGCUUGUUCUAGCAAGAUGUUGUAAUUCCACAUUACCCAUCAAAUCUUGCAUAGAUUGAUUGAUAACAACUCUAUCAAGUCUCUUGAAAAUACAUCCUGCAUCAGUCCUACCAUUCCACCAAGUGAAUGGGCUACCAGAAAAAUGCAAAUCAAACAAGUCACAAGAAUUGACACAAAAGGCAAAAUCUUCAUAUUCCUGAGGAUAUACUGGUAAUCCACCUAUCUUUUCUUCUUCCCCUAGAAUAACAUUGAAAUCCCCUCCCACCAUCCAUGGCAAGGAAAAUUCUUGACUCAAAGUAUAUAUAUCAUCCCACAAACUCAACCUUUCAAUAGAAGAGCAUUUAGCAUAUACUAUUGUAGUUAAGAAUUGUUGGCCAUCCUCCAUGGUUAAGUGAAGAGUCAAUUGUUGUUCAGAGUCUGAAAUAACUCCCACUUGAAUAUGUUCUCUAAUGAAUAUCCAGAUCUGCCCAUUACUGUUAUAAUUUACAUACUGCAUCCCCAAUCUUCUCUUGAAUCUUUGAAUAUGAGUAGUAUCUUGGAAUGGCUCCAUUUAAAGCAAUAAGAAAGAAUUUGUGAUGUCUGUGUAACAUUUGAACUCUGUGAAAAGCAUUUUGUGUUUCCACAGACCUUAUGUUCCAAAAUAAGGCUUUUUUGUGUCAUUUGGAUAUUGAUUUAACCACCCUCUUAGCUUGUAUCCUUGUUGGUCUAAUAAUGGCAUCACCUUUAUCUACCUUUUCUCCUUUAACAUCUCCCUUUUUUUCUCCCUUUUUACCCUUGGAUAGAGUAUUUGGGGAUAAACCAGUUGCACUACACAUACUUCUAGCAUUAAAAUCAUUCAUGUCUUCUUCUUUAUCUGUUAUUGUUUAUUUUGUUGUUUCAGCAUAUAUUGUAAUCUGACCCUAUGUUGUUUCAUGUUGAAUCUGAUGAGAUAUUAAUGCAUGCAGGUUUUCCAUAGGUGGUGACUUCUGAGGACUUCCUUCCAUGGACUUGGUUACUCCUAUUUUCUCUAUUUCUUCAUUUUCUUCUAUAUUAGUUAAAUGUAGUCUUGUUUCCUCUUGAGCAUGUGGAAAACUCCCUUCCCAAUAAGGUGCUAAUUGAAUUUGCAAUGGGACUUCAUAAAUGGCUUCAGCAAUUCCUUUCAUUAAGGUACAUUCACUUAUACCUUCUCCUGUGGUUUGUGCGACCACAAUGUCAGUAAUUAUUUGAUGAUCUACACCUCUUUCAGUGGCUGUUGUCUGCACUGACUCUCCAUUAACUUUAUCUUCUUUUGCUGGUAUAUCAACUAUUUCCACUGAUGACUCCUCCCUCCUGUAGAUCUAUGUAUCCAUCAUCUCCGGCCACCUCUUCAGAUAAUCCUUUCCCUUUAUAUUUAGCAAAUACGUGACUAAUCCAUUCCUUAGUGGAGGAAUGAUGCUAACAUUUUUUACCUUAUUUUUCUUUCUCCAUCAGUCCUCUAGCAGAUCCAUUAACAUUACUAGAUUGAUUGCUUGCACUGCUUAUUUCUUGUGUUUGUGAGUCUUUUUCUAUUCCUUCAGCUAAGGAUACAAAGGUAUUGCUGGUUUUUGACAUCCUUAGUAGGUGUACAUGCUUUGUCAUUCAUUAAGGAGUUGGGCGCUAAUGUGAAAACUCUAUGAGUAGCAUUCCAAUGCUUCUUAACCCCUUUCUCCACUGCACUUCUGUGUGUUCUUUGGCUUUAUUCGAGUCACCUUGCUGAGUUACUUGUUCUGUCUUUCUAUUUCAUCAU